Molecule: ribosomal RNA, 397 nt
Filed under: uncultured bacterium
Lineage: Bacteria
Description: partial 16S ribosomal RNA
Rfam family: Bacterial small subunit ribosomal RNA
Source: RNAcentral
AAACGUAGGAGACGAGCGUUAUCCGGAUUUACUGGGCGUAAAGCGCGUGUAGGAGGCAUGUCAAGUUGGAUGUAAAAUCUCCCGGCUUAACUGGGAGGCGUCGUUCAAAACUGAUGAGCUAGAGUAGUGUAGAGGUAAUCGGAACUCCGGGAGUAGCGGUGAAAUGCGUAGAUAUCCGGAAGAACACCAGAGGCGAAAGCGGAUUACUGGACACCAACUGACACUGAGACGCGAAAGCCAGGGUAGCAAACGGGAUUAGAGACCCCGGUAGUCCUGGCCGUAAACGAUGUAGACUCGUCGUUUGGCCUGUAAAAGGGUUGAGUGACUAAGCAAACGCGAUAAGUCUACCGCCUGGGGAGUACGAUCGCAAGAUUAAAACUCAAAUGAAUUGGCGGGG